This 811-nucleotide ribosomal RNA is filed under the name uncultured bacterium. RNAcentral's name for it is "bacterial SSU rRNA". It matches the Rfam family "Bacterial small subunit ribosomal RNA", at positions 681 to 1503 of the family's 1533-position model. The record is from RNAcentral.
GUGAAAUGCGUAGAGAUCAGGAAGAACACCAAAGGCGAAGGCACGUUCCUGGGGAGUUACUGACGCUGAGGUGCGAGAGCUAGGGGAGCAAACGGGAUUAGAUACCCCGGUAGUCCUAGCCGUAAACGAUGACCACCAGGUGUGGGAGGUAUCGACCCCUUCCGUGCCGGCGCUAACGCUUUGAGUGGUCCGCCUGGGGAGUACGGUCGCAAGAUUAAAACUCAAAGGAAUUGACGGGGACCCGCACAAGCAGCGGAGCGUGUGGUUUAAUUCGAUGCAACGCGAAGAACCUUACCAGGGUUUGACAUGUCAUUGCACCGCUCUGAGAGGAGCGUGCCCGCAAGGGACGGUGACACAGGUGCUGCAUGGCUGUCGUCAGCUCGUGUCGUGAGAUGUUGGGUUAAGUCCCGCAACGAGCGCAACCCCCAUCGUCGGUUACAAGUGUCCGACGAGACUGCCACGAUCAACGUGGAGGAAGGCGGGGAUGACGUCAAGUCAGCACGGCCCUUACAUCCUGGGCGACACACACGCUACAAUGGUCGGGACAAAAGGACGCCAACCCGCGAGGGGGAGCCAAUCCAGUAAACUCGAUCUCAGUUCAGAUUGCAGGCUGCAACCCGCCUGCAUGAAGGAGGAGUUGCUAGUAACCGUGCGUCAGCACAGCACGGUGAAUACGUUCCCGGGUCUUGUACACACCGCCCGUCACACCACGAAAGUCGGCAACACCUGAAGCCGCUGGGCUAACUCGCAAGAGAGGCAAGCGUCGAGGGUGGGGUCGGUGAUUGGGGUGAAGUCGUAACAAGGUAACCGU